RNAcentral lists this ribosomal RNA (416 nucleotides) under soil bacterium S92D1. Its description in RNAcentral is "bacterial SSU rRNA". It matches the Rfam family "Bacterial small subunit ribosomal RNA", at positions 52 to 465 of the family's 1533-position model. The record is from RNAcentral.
CACAUGCAAGUCGAACGGCAGCACGGGAGCAAUCCUGGUGGCGAGUGGCGAACGGGUGAGUAAUACAUCGGAACGUGCCCAGUAGUGGGGGAUAGCCCGGCGAAAGCCGGAUUAAUACCGCAUACGACCUACGGGUGAAAGCGGGGGAUCGCAAGACCUCGCGCUAUUGGAGCGGCCGAUGUCAGAUUAGCUAGUUGGCGGGGUAAAAGCCCACCAAGGCGACGAUCUGUAGCUGGUCUGAGAGGACGACCAGCCACACUGGGACUGAGACACGGCCCAGACUCCUACGGGAGGCAGCAGUGGGGAAUUUUGGACAAUGGGCGCAAGCCUGAUCCAGCCAUGCCGCGUGCGGGAAGAAGGCCUUCGGGUUGUAAACCGCUUUUGUCAGGGAAGAAACGGCCUGAUCUAAUAAAUCG